CUGGAAACGGCAGCACUGAGCGUGAUGUUAUGUUCCUGAGACUGGGCAGGUAUCUCAGAGGUGUCUGGUGAAGCUGAGGGAGGACACACAAGACAGCUGCAGCCAGGGGUAGUUGUCUGCCCUGUCCAGGAGAGUAUACUUCCAUAUAUUAGUCCUCAGCUCUGCUGCCUGAACUGAGAAAAGCAAGGUGACCCUACGCUUCUAUUUUGCUAAAGAAUAUUCACUGACAUGACAAUGCAAGUCUUUACCACAUCCCAGCAACUAUCCUCCUUGCUCUUGGACGUGUUUGGAUGAAGAAAAAGAAAAAGAGAGAGAAUUGAGAUUGAAAGCACAGAAAUUCUGGAGCAAUCUGCAGACAGAGCAUGGUUAAAAAAAUGGGAUUGUGUUUUAUUUAGUCUAAGACUUAAAAAUAAAUAAAAAGAAAAAAAUACUA
Passer domesticus (house sparrow) is the source of this 433-nucleotide long non-coding RNA. RefSeq lists it as uncharacterized. NCBI's taxonomy places the organism in Eukaryota, Metazoa, Chordata, Aves, Passeriformes, Passeridae. The record is from RefSeq and is a predicted model, not a curated record. The transcript has 3 exons.